Molecule: ribosomal RNA, 305 nt
Filed under: uncultured bacterium
Lineage: Bacteria
Description: bacterial SSU rRNA
Rfam family: Bacterial small subunit ribosomal RNA
Source: RNAcentral
UCGCGCAGCAGUGGGGAAUAUUGCACAAUGGGGGAAACCCUGAUGCAGCGACGCCGCGUGAGUGAAGAAGUAUCUCGGUACGUAAAGCUCUAUCAGCAGGGAAGAAAAAAAGUCUUUGGCUUUGGACGGUACCUGACUAAGAAGCCCCGGCUAACUACGUGCCAGCAGCCGCGGUAAUACGUAGGGGGCAAGCGUUAUCCGGAUUUACUGGGUGUAAAGGGAGCGUAGACGGCAGCGCAAGUCUGGAGUGAAAUGCCGGGGCUCAACCCCGGAACUGCUUUGGAAACUGUGCAGCUAGAGUGCGG